CCCUUAGAUGUUCUGGGCUGCACGCGUGCUACAAUGGCGCUUGCAACAAGUCUUGCCAACCCGAUAGGGUGAGCGGAUCUUUGAAGAGGCGUCGUGAUCGGGACAGUUGAUUGCAAUUAUUCGACUCGAACGAGGAAUUCCUUGUAAUCGCGAUUCAUCAUAUAGCGCUGAAUACGUCCCUGCCCUUUGUACACACCGCCCGUCGCUCCUACCGAUUGAGCGAUCCGGUGAAUGUUUUGGACUGGCGUCAGAAGCGGUUCGCUCCUGACACUACGAAAUUUUGUAAACCUUAUCGCUUAGAGGAAGGAAAAGUCGUAACA
This 320-nucleotide ribosomal RNA is filed under the name uncultured eukaryote. Its description in RNAcentral is "partial 18S ribosomal RNA". It matches the Rfam family "Eukaryotic small subunit ribosomal RNA", at positions 1470 to 1796 of the family's 1831-position model. The record is from RNAcentral.